UUAGAUUUUUUUUUUUUUUUUUCAUUUUUCCUUAUUCCCCCCCCU
RNAcentral lists this non-coding RNA (45 nucleotides) under Partenskyella glossopodia. The record is from RNAcentral. Lineage: Eukaryota; Cercozoa; Chlorarachniophyceae.